RNAcentral lists this transfer RNA (75 nucleotides) under Candidatus Woesearchaeota archaeon. RNAcentral's name for it is "tRNA-Ile". It matches the Rfam family "tRNA". Rfam says of the family: Transfer RNA (tRNA) molecules are approximately 80 nucleotides in length. Their secondary structure includes four short double-helical elements and three loops (D, anti-codon, and T loops). Further hydrogen bonds mediate the characteristic L-shaped molecular structure. tRNAs have two regions of fundamental functional importance: the anti-codon, which is responsible for specific mRNA codon recognition, and the 3' end, to which the tRNAs corresponding amino acid is attached (by aminoacyl-tRNA synthetases). tRNAs cope with the degeneracy of the genetic code in two manners: having more than one tRNA (with a specific anti-codon) for a particular amino acid; and 'wobble' base-pairing, i.e. permitting non-standard base-pairing at the 3rd anti-codon position. The record is from RNAcentral. Lineage: Archaea; Nanobdellati; Candidatus Woesearchaeota.
GGGCCCGUAGCUUAGCCUGGUUUGAGUGCCCGACUGAUAAUCGGGUGGUCCGGAGUUCGAAUCUCCGCGGGCCCA